Molecule: non-coding RNA, 101 nt
Organism: Phyllosticta citrichinensis
Lineage: Eukaryota; Fungi; Ascomycota; Dothideomycetes; Botryosphaeriales; Phyllostictaceae
Source: the annotation of a GenBank genome assembly
GCCCGGCUAGCUCAAUCGGUAGAGCGUGAGACUCUUAAUUCUUCCAGAAGCUGGAAAAAGUAGUCAUCUCAAGGCUGCGGGUUCGACCCCCGCGUUGGGCU